This 406-nucleotide ribosomal RNA is filed under the name uncultured bacterium. RNAcentral's name for it is "partial 16S ribosomal RNA". It matches the Rfam family "Bacterial small subunit ribosomal RNA", at positions 30 to 526 of the family's 1533-position model. The record is from RNAcentral.
AUUGAACGCUGGCGGCAGGCCUAACACACGCAAGUCGAGCGAGAGGCGGACGGGUGCGUAAUGUCUGGGAACAUGCCUGAUGGAGGGGGAUAACUACUGGAAACGGUAGCUAAAACCGCAUACCAUGCGAUGUGCCCAGAUGGGGUUAGCUAGUGGUUGGGUUAAUGCCCCACCUAGGCGACGAUCCCUACCUGGUCUGAGAGGAUGACAAGCAACACGGCAACGUAGACACGGUCCAGACUCCUCCGGGAGGCAGCAGUGGGGAAUAUUGCACAAUGGGCGCAAGCCUGAUGCAGCCAUGCCGCGUGUGUGAAGAAGGCCUUCGGGUUGUAAAGCACUGUCAGCGGGGAGGCGUUACCCGCAGAAGAAGCACCGGCUAACUCCGUGCCAGCAGCCGCGGUAAUAC